ACGUAGGGUGCAAGCGUUGUCCGGAAUUACUGGGUGUAAAGGGAGCGCAGGCGAGAAGACAAGUUGGAAGUGAAAACCAUGGGCUCAACCCAUGAAUUGCUUUCAAAACUGUUUUUCUUGAGUAGUGCAGAGGUAGAUGGAAUUCCCGGUGUAGCGGUGGAAUGCGUAGAUAUCGGGAGGAACACCAGUGGCGAAGGCGGUCUACUGGGCACCAACUGACGCUGAGGCUCGAAAGCAUGGGUAGCAAACAG
RNAcentral lists this ribosomal RNA (251 nucleotides) under uncultured bacterium. Its description in RNAcentral is "partial 16S ribosomal RNA". It matches the Rfam family "Bacterial small subunit ribosomal RNA", at positions 525 to 775 of the family's 1533-position model. The record is from RNAcentral.